AGCAGCCGCGGUAAUUCCAGCUCCAAUAGCGUAUAUUAAAGUUGUUGCAGUUAAAAGCUCGUAGUUGAAUUUCGGGAUCAAUACGCCGGUCGUGCUUCGGUACGUACUGGCGUAAUUGAUUUCUCCCUUCUGACGAACCAUGAUGUCAUUAACUUGGUGUCAUGGGAAAUCAGGACUGUUACUUUGAAAAAAUUAGAGUGUUUAAAGCAGGCUCACGCUUGAAUACAUUAGCAUGGAAUAAUGAAAUAGGACGUUCGAUCCUAUUUUGUUGGUUUUUAGGAUCAACGUAAUGAUUAAUAGGGAUAGUUGGGGGCAUUAGUAUUCAAUUGUCAGAGGUGAAAUUCUUGGAUUUAUUGAAGACUAACUACUGCGAAAGCAUUUGCCAAGGAUGUUUUCAUUAAUCAAGAACGAAAGUUAGGGGAUCGAAGACGAUCAGAUACCGUCGUAGUCUUAACCAUAAACUAUGCCGACUAGGGAUCGGAUGAUGUUAAUUUUUUAAUGACUCAUUCGGCGCCUUACG
RNAcentral lists this ribosomal RNA (520 nucleotides) under uncultured Glomus. RNAcentral describes it as "SSU rRNA". It matches the Rfam family "Eukaryotic small subunit ribosomal RNA", at positions 569 to 1092 of the family's 1831-position model. Lineage: Eukaryota; Fungi; Glomeromycota; Glomeromycetes; Glomerales; Glomeraceae. The record is from RNAcentral.